UUGGUGGUCACGGGCUUGUGCAUCUAGGCCGACAAGGCCAGUUUCUGGCCUCUCUGCAUGGGGCGGCCAAGUUGGGCCUACUUGCCGCAGGUCUUCCUCUCUCAGGCCAUGGGUUGUGCGUGCAUGGGUGGUAGUACAUAUGACCCCGGGCUCGCACAAAUGCAUGGUUCCGUGAGUAUGUCACUCGUGUCUUGCGCGUAUGCCACGUACGCUAGGCAUGCGAGUUGCUCUUGUCACAUUCUCGC
Molecule: long non-coding RNA, 245 nt
Filed under: Carica papaya (papaya)
Lineage: Eukaryota; Viridiplantae; Streptophyta; Magnoliopsida; Brassicales; Caricaceae
Description: long non-coding RNA (CPAP_LNC007690)
Source: RNAcentral